UAUAAAAUGUUUAAAUUUAGUUAGUUUAAUUAGGCCUGUUAGUACACUUAUAUUAUGGUUUCUUUAUUUUAUUAUGUGGAAAGGAGCUGUUUUGAAUGAAGAUCUACAAGAAGAAGUAAUUCCAUCUAAUUGGAUUAGUGAUAAAACUGUUUGUCAGCUUCCAGGUACCAAAGAAUUGACUGCACUAAAAUGCAAAGAAGAAUUGGCUUAAGUUUAUACAAAUAAAAACUAAAUUCUCUUCAGAUAAAUCAAUUACAGAUGAUUGGUGGAACGUCUUCUAAAGAUAGAAUACACAAAAUUAUGCUGAGCUUCUUCUAUUGUAUUCAAUGGACCAAAAGAAACCUUAUGACGCACAUAGCACGUUUACAUACAUAUAUACAUUUUGACAUAAAUAGCACGUUUUAAUGAUGAAAAAGUGUAUUUCAACGUUAUUUCAACGUUAUUUGUCGGCUGGGUAGUCACUUAAAUUAACUUUUUUUCGUU
This is a non-coding RNA of Hydra vulgaris (swiftwater hydra), 483 nucleotides long. The record is from RefSeq and is a predicted model, not a curated record. Lineage: Eukaryota; Metazoa; Cnidaria; Hydrozoa; Anthoathecata; Hydridae.